Molecule: ribosomal RNA, 378 nt
Filed under: uncultured organism
Description: partial 16S ribosomal RNA
Rfam family: Bacterial small subunit ribosomal RNA
Source: RNAcentral
CGGGGGGGGGGGCAAGCGUUGUUCGGAAUUACUGGGCGUAAAGGGGCGCGCAGGCGGCCCGGGCAAGUCCUACGUGAAAUCCCACAGCUCAACUGUGGAACUGCGUGGGAUACUGCCAGGCUUGAGUCCGGGAGAGGAGAGUGGAAUUCCCAGUGUAGCGGUGAAAUGCGUAGAUAUUGGGAGGAACACCGGUGGCGAAGGCGGCUCUCUGGACCGGUACUGACGCUGAGGCGCGAAAGCUAGGGGAGCAAACGGGAUUAGAUACCCCGGUAGUCCUAGCCGUAAACUUUGAGCACUUGGUGUGGCGGGUAUCGACCCCUGCCGUGCCGAAGCUAACGCAUUAAGUGCUCCGCCUGGGGAGUACGGUCGCAAAGGCUG